UGGGGAAUUUUGGACAAUGGGGGCAACCCUGAUCCAGCCAUGCCGCGUGAGUGAAGAAGGCCUUCGGGUUGUAAAGCUCUUUCGCGAGGGAAGAAAACUUAGCCAUUAAUACUGGCUGAGGAUGACGGUACCUUGAUAAGAAGCACCGGCUAACUACGUGCCAGCAGCCGCGGUAAUACGUAGGGUGCGAGCGUUAAUCGGAAUUACUGGGCGUAAAGCGUGCGCAGGCGGUUUGACAAGUCAGAUGUGAAAGCCCCGGGCUCAACCUGGGAACUGCGUUUGAAACUGUCAGGCUAGAGUGUGUCAGAGGGAGGUAGAAUUCCACGUGUAGCAGUGAAAUGCGUAGAGAUGUGGAGGAACACCGAUGGCGAAGGCAGCCUCCUGGGAUAACACUGACGCUCAUGCACGAAAGCGUGGGGAGCAAACAGG
Molecule: ribosomal RNA, 429 nt
Filed under: uncultured bacterium
Lineage: Bacteria
Description: bacterial SSU rRNA
Rfam family: Bacterial small subunit ribosomal RNA
Source: RNAcentral